AUGGGCAGGGGUCUUGUCAUGGGAGGUAGAGGUACCCAGAGUCCUUACCGGAAUCCACAGGAUGUGGGAUUCUUCUCUUGGCUGAUGCUGCUCAGUGGUGGUUCUUUCUUGUGUUUUACCAGAUUUUCUCUUGUGUCGGGGGCAGCCUGCAUGCUUUUCCUUGUGGCUAAUCUCCUGGGGCAAGUAUACCAGGUUCACGUGGAUAAAGGAGGGACUAGAGCUUCUGAAAGCAUAUUCCGCCUAUGGGACCACUCACUGCUCUUUGUAUUCAAAACACCAUCUUCCCGGAAAAACAAAGCUGGACCCUACCGGUUUGGGAGUCUGAUGCAGUGGACCCCCCAAGAACACUAAGCAAAGCUGUCAUUUACUUGUAUGGUCUUGAAUAUAAAUGUGAAAGCUGUUGGGACUUUCACAGUGAGAUGCGCAUCUGGCUGGUGUGGACAUGCUGAAGAGCCUGUUUCUAGAGGCAGAGCUGGGCCAGCGGCUUCCAGGCUUGGCAGAUGGCUUCCUGAUGCUUGCACUAGGAACGGCUGCCUUGGUGGUCCACUUCUGCAGCCCAGCUUUGGGAGCUGCUCCCGAAGAUGCAGCCCAGAGUCUGUUUCU
Molecule: long non-coding RNA, 603 nt
Filed under: Cricetulus griseus (Chinese hamster)
Lineage: Eukaryota; Metazoa; Chordata; Mammalia; Rodentia; Cricetidae
Description: lncRNA (ENSCGRG00000024714.1)
Source: RNAcentral